UGCUAAUACCCGAUAUGCCGAGAGGUGAAAAGUAAUUCGCCUGAAGAUGAGCUCGCGUCUGAUUAGCUAGUUGGUAGUGUAAGAGCCUACCAAGGCGAUGAUCAGUAGCUGGUCUGAGAGGAUGAGCAGCCACACUGGGACUGAGACACGGCCCAGACUCCUACGGGAGGCAGCAGUGGGGAAUUUUCCGCAAUGGGCGAAAGCCUGACGGAGCAACGCCGCGUGAGGGAUGAAGGUCUUUGGAUUGUAAACCUCUUUUCUCAGGGAAGAAGUUCUGACGGUACCUGAGGAAUCAGCAUCGGUUAACUCCGUGCCAGCAGCCGCGGUAAUACGGAGGAUGCAAGCGUUAUCCGGAAUUAUUGGGCGUAAAGCGUUCGUAGGCGGUUAUUUAAGUCUGCUGUUAAAGCACGGAGCUUAACUCCGGGAGAGCAGUGGAAACUGAGUGACUAGAGUAUGGUAGGGGUAGAGGGAAUUCCCAGUGUAGCGGUGAAAUGCGUAGAUAUUGGGAAGAACACCGGUGGCGAAAGCGCUCUACUAGGCCAUAACUGACGCUGAGGGACGAAAGCUAGGGGAGCGAAAGGGAUUAGAUACCC
RNAcentral lists this ribosomal RNA (593 nucleotides) under uncultured Leptolyngbya sp. Its description in RNAcentral is "bacterial SSU rRNA". It matches the Rfam family "Bacterial small subunit ribosomal RNA", at positions 161 to 787 of the family's 1533-position model. The record is from RNAcentral. Lineage: Bacteria; Bacillati; Cyanobacteriota; Cyanophyceae; Leptolyngbyales; Leptolyngbyaceae.